Molecule: ribosomal RNA, 480 nt
Filed under: uncultured anaerobic ammonium-oxidizing bacterium
Lineage: Bacteria
Description: bacterial SSU rRNA
Rfam family: Bacterial small subunit ribosomal RNA
Source: RNAcentral
UUUCGCAAUGCCCGAAAGGGUGACGAAGCGACGCCGCGUGGGUGAGGAAGGCCUUCGGGUUGUAAAGCCCUGUCAGGAGUUAAGAAAUGUAAGUGCGCUAAUAUCGCAUUUAUUUGACGAAGGCUCCAAAGGAAGCCACGGCUAACUCUGUGCCAGCAGCCGCGGUAAUACAGAGGUGGCAAGCGUUGUUCGGAAUUAUUGGGCGUAAAGAGCACGUAGGUGGGUUUGUAAGUCAGAUGUGAAAGCCUUCUGUUCAACGGAAGAAUUGCAUCUGAAACUGCGAGUCUUGAGUGUAGGAGGGGAGAAUGGAACUUCUGGUGGAGCGGUGAAAUGCGUAGAUAUCAGAAGGAACGCCGGCGGCGGAAGCGAUUCUCUGGCCUAUUACUGACACUCAGUGUGCGAAAGCUAGGGGAGCAAACGGGAUUAGAUACCCCGGUAGUCCUAGCCGUAAACGAUGGGCACUAAGUAGAGGGGUUUUAA